Molecule: ribosomal RNA, 466 nt
Filed under: uncultured bacterium
Lineage: Bacteria
Description: bacterial SSU rRNA
Rfam family: Bacterial small subunit ribosomal RNA
Source: RNAcentral
ACGCUGGCGGCGUGCUUAACACAUGCAAGUCGAGCGGAAAGGCCUUUCGGGGGUACUCGAGCGGCGAACGGGUGAGUAACACGUGAGUAAUCUGCCCUUGGCUUUGGGAUAACUACCGGAAACGGUGGCUAAUACCGGAUAUGACCAUGCUCGGCAUCGGGUGUGGUGGAAAGUUUUUUCGGCCAGGGAUGUGCUCGCGGCCUAUCAGCUUGUUGGUGGGGUAAUGGCCUACCAAGGCUUCGACGGUAGCCGGCCUGAGAGGGUGACCGGCCACACUGGGACUGAGACACGGCCCAGACUCCUACGGGAGGCAGCAGUGGGGAAUAUUGGACAAUGGGCGGAAGCCUGAUCCAGCAACGCCGCGUGAGGGAUGACGGCCUUCGGGUUGUAAACCUCUUUCAGUACCGACGAAGCGCCGAUGAUGGUGGUGACGGUAGGUACAGAAGAAGCACCGGCCAACUACGUG